This 1709-nucleotide long non-coding RNA is filed under the name Homo sapiens (human). RNAcentral describes it as "novel transcript, antisense to FGF2". The record is from RNAcentral. Lineage: Eukaryota; Metazoa; Chordata; Mammalia; Primates; Hominidae.
CUGGGUUGUUUAUUCUUUUACAGUACAUUGAUUUUUCAGUUUUGGCUUUUGAGGGAGCUUGCUCAAUAGGAAUCCAAAAGUGCUUUUGCUUAUACCACUUCUGAGAAUUAAAAACAGACAUGAUGUAAGUAUCAAUGUUGACUAUUUCAGAAAAAAAAGAAACAUCCAAAUAGUGAAAAGUUAAAAUUAAAUUUGAUCUUUUUAUUUUUUAUUUUUUUGAGAUGGAAUCUCACUGUGUCGCCUAGGCUGGAGUGCAGUGGCGUGAUCUUGAUUCACUGCAAUGUCCACCUCCCGGGUCCAAGCAAUUCUCCUGCCUCAGCCUCCCAAGUUGGCUGUGAUUACAGCACUCUUCUUUCUGGGAGGAAACUAGACUGCUUUAGAAAUCACUGCAGGAAUCACAGAGUAAAAUGGAGAAGAACCCAGGGAUGUGUCAUAACACAGUAGUCUGAAAAAGGGCCAGGUAGAAGAGUGGGAAGGACUAUGCCUCUGGCAAGUGCAAGUUCAUAAAUUCCAGUUUCUUCAAGUUACGAGGCACAUCUGCAUCCCCAGAUGAUGGCUACUGGUCAGAACACUGAACUCAUACCAAAAGCUGCUGUUGUUGACAGUUUAAUGUCUAUGGAUCUGACUCGGAGAGAAAUGUGCCACUUACUGAAUCACCAACACCAUAUCUUUGGUGUUGAGGUGGGGCACGCUUACUUUUUCAUCUGAAGAUUGACACAGCCCACCAAGAACAUUUGAAAGAGACAGGAUUGCUGCUGAAAAGGCAUGACAUCAAGCCACACAAAUUGGAUGGUAAGACUAGAGAUUAACUUGUGAACAGGUCGUAUGACGAGAGCUGAAACGUACAACUGGAUCUUGGUCAUGCCAUUCCUCAAAGGAGACUAAGAAAUCCUGAAUUUUUAAUUUAUGCUUAAUAGCCAUGGCUUUGUCUCUACAGAGUGUUUGUGAUACAUUUCUAAGCAUUGGUAAAUUAAUUCUUACUGCACCAACUUGGUGGAAAUCUGUUCCAUCAGAAAGAGUUAAUACAUCCAAAGAGAUAGAAACACAUUUAAGACUAACUUUCACAAGUUCCUGCUUAGCUAAGAAUGAAACUAGAAAACUUUAUUUUGAGUAUUUUACAUUUCUGAUGGUACAGAAUCAACAGUUUGGGAAGCUUAAUACCUAUUUGCCAAGAGAAAAAGUCAGAAUUCUCUUUUCAGGUCUACAUUCUUUUAACUUGUCUCAUCUUUUUAUGUACCCUAGUAGUUUCAGAGAUACACUUGAAGAUAGAGCAAUUUCUGUUUUCAUCACUUUUAACAACAAUGGGUCUUUUUAUCAUUGUCAAUGAAUCAAUAUUCAGCCAGUGCUCCUGAGGAGAUGAAAAAUUCCACCGGCAAUUAUCUUACAGAGUCACCAUGAUUACUAGGUUAUAUGGUUUGGCUGUGCCCCCACCCAAAUCUCAUCUUGAAUUCCCAUGUGUUGCGGGAGGGACCCAGUGGGAGGUAACUGAAUCAUGGAGACAAGUCUUUCUUGUGCUGUUCUUAUGAUAGUGAAUAAGUCUCAUGAGAUCUUAUGGUUUUAUAAAGAAGAGUCCCCCUGCACAAGCUCUCUCUCUCUUUGCCUGCUGCCAUCUAUUUAAGAUGUGACUUGCUCUUCCUUGCCUUCCGCCGUGAUUGUGAGGCUUCCCCAGCCAUGUGGAACUGUAAGUCCAAUUAAACCUCUUCUUUUGU